This 487-nucleotide ribosomal RNA is filed under the name uncultured bacterium. RNAcentral describes it as "partial 16S ribosomal RNA". It matches the Rfam family "Bacterial small subunit ribosomal RNA", at positions 28 to 523 of the family's 1533-position model. The record is from RNAcentral.
GACGAACGCUGGCGGCGUGCUUAACACAUGCAAGUCGAACGGGGUCCUGGUUGGUGGCAACACCUUCCAGUACCUAGUGGCGAACGGGUGAGGAACACGUGAGCAACCCACCCCGGACUCUGGGAUAACAGCGGGAAACCGCUGCUAAUACCGGAUACCUUCCUGCAGUCGCGUGGCUGUACGAAGAAAGGGUUACUGGUUCGGGACGGGCUCGCGGCCUAUCAGCUUGUUGGUGGGGUAACGGCCUACCAAGGCUUCGACGGGUAGCUGGUCUGAGAGGAUGAUCAGCCACACUGGGACUGAGACACGGCCCAGACUCCUACGGGAGGCAGCAGUAGGGAAUAUUGCUCAAUGGGCGAAAGCCUGAAGCAGCAACGCCGCGUGUGUGAUGAAGGCCUUCGGGUCGUAAAGCACUUUUCUGGGAGAUGAGAAAGGACAGUAUCCUAGGAAUAAGUCUCGGCUAACUACGUGCCAGCCGCCGCAGUAA